This 300-nucleotide ribosomal RNA is filed under the name uncultured Alteromonadales bacterium. RNAcentral describes it as "bacterial SSU rRNA". It matches the Rfam family "Bacterial small subunit ribosomal RNA", at positions 115 to 415 of the family's 1533-position model. Lineage: Bacteria; Pseudomonadati; Pseudomonadota; Gammaproteobacteria; Alteromonadales. The record is from RNAcentral.
GCUUGGGAAUAUGCCUUAUGGUGGGGGACAACAGUUGGAAACGACUGCUAAUACCGCAUACGCCCUACGGGGAAAAGGAGGGGACGUCUUCGGAGCCUUUCGCGAUUGGAUGUACCCAAGUGGGAUUAGCUAGUUGGUGAGGUAAUGGCUCACCAAGGCGACGAUCCCUAGCUGGUUUGAGAGGAUGAUCAGCCACACUGGAACUGAGACACGGUCCAGACUCCUACGGGAGGCAGCAGUGGGGAAUAUUGCACAAUGGAGGAAACUCUGAUGCAGCCAUGCCGCGUGUAUGAAGAAGGC